Molecule: non-coding RNA, 98 nt
Organism: Cyanistes caeruleus (blue tit)
Lineage: Eukaryota; Metazoa; Chordata; Aves; Passeriformes; Paridae
Source: RefSeq, a predicted model, not a curated record
UUGGUUCUUUGUCCCUGGAUGACGCUGCGCUCUACACUUUUCCAAGCCUCGGGCUAGCCCUGGACAACUUGGCCAAUGGCAGCGCCAAGAGUGGGGAA